UACAAGGGCCAGAAAAGAUUAUUCUAUG
Molecule: non-coding RNA, 28 nt
Filed under: Rattus norvegicus (Norway rat)
Lineage: Eukaryota; Metazoa; Chordata; Mammalia; Rodentia; Muridae
Source: RNAcentral